Molecule: ribosomal RNA, 1380 nt
Filed under: metagenome
Description: bacterial SSU rRNA
Rfam family: Eukaryotic small subunit ribosomal RNA
Source: RNAcentral
GUAUCAUUAAAAACGAUUUGUAAUGGUUACAAAUUAAAUUAUUGUGAGAUUAACAGUUAGAGGAAAAGUCUGGUGCCAGCACCCGCGGUAAUUCCAGCUCUGAGAGUGUAUUAUAACAUUGUUGUAGUUAAAACGCUCGUAUUUAAUCUAUUUUCCAUUGGAUUAAAUGACGAUACAUAUACACCUCUGAGCGAUGAAAGUAUCUGAUCAUUGAUUAGAGGUACUGAUAUUUUUAUAGAAGUAAGUAUGUGUGUCCUUGGUCGUACUUAUAUCAUUCACUUUUGUGUUUGACUUAAUUGGUGUCAUUUGGUCUUUUGGUUACAAAUCUCUACAUCUAAUGUGGAACGACCAUGAAUAAAUCAAAGUGCUCAACACAGGCAUUGGUAGUACGCCUGAAUGUUUUAGCGUGGUAUUGAAUUUUAAUUCUUCUUUUGAGGAAUGUAAACAAUGAGAUUAGGAAUAGGGUUCGAGAAUUGCUAAGUCAGAGGUGAAAUUCAGAAACCUUAGCAGGACUAACGGAUGCGAAAGCUGUUACUUUACCCAUAACCAGUCUAUCAAUGAGGAACGAAAGUUAGGGGAUCGAAAAUGAUUAGAUACCAUUGUAGUCCUAACCGUAAACUAUGCUGACAGAAGAUCGAGAAUAAACCUUUUCUCCAGAUAUCCUCGGAAUUCAAAGGAAACUGAAAGUUUUUGAGUUCUAGGGGGAGUAUAGUCGCAAGGCUCAAACUUAAAAGAAUUGACGGAAGAGCACCACCAGGAGUGGAAUUUGCGGCUUAAUUCGACACAACACGGGAAAACUCACCAGGUCCGGACGAUUGUAGGAUUGACAGGUUAAAGUCCUUUCUUGAUUAUUUGUAUGGUGGUGCAUGGCCGUUUUUAGUUCGUGGAGUGGUUUGUCAGGUUGAUUCCGAUAACGAACGAGACCUUAACUUACUAACUAGUUAUUGGUCAUAUUAUGUGAUUAGCUUUUCGAAGCCAAUAAAAAUGAAUUUCGAUUUUACUUCUUAGAAGGACAAUGCUGCGUCUUUUUAAACAAAAUUAGCUCAGGGAGGUUGAAGGCAACAACAGGUCUGUAAUGCCCUUAAAUGUUCUGGGCUGCACGCGUAUUACAAUGUUAAUUACGACAAGUUUAUUAUGAGUAGGAUCUCGAUUUUACUCAUACCUUCUCUAUAAAGGAGUGGGAAAUCUUUCAAUAGUUAACGUGACAGGGAUAGACCAUUGAAACUUGGUCUUGAACGAGGAAUUCCUAGUAGGUUCAAUUCAUUAACUUGAACCGAUUACGUCCCUGCUCUUUGUACACACCGCCCGUCGCUCCUACCGAUGGAAUGAUAAGGUGAAUCUGAAGGACCAUUAGGGCUAUUUAUAGCUCCAUGGAAAUUC